Long non-coding RNA from Syngnathus acus (greater pipefish), 225 nucleotides. RefSeq lists it as uncharacterized. Lineage: Eukaryota; Metazoa; Chordata; Actinopteri; Syngnathiformes; Syngnathidae. The record is from RefSeq and is a predicted model, not a curated record. The transcript is spliced from 2 exons.
GUUUAAAGAUGCAAAGUUUCCGUCUCUUUUCCUUUGUGCUUUUUGCAGUCAACUUCAAGUGGGAGUCUAUCCACGCUCGCAAGAGUUUUUCUUUCCUCAAAGUGAUGUGAUAUGAUAGUUGUCCGCUUCUUGAUCGCGAGCGGAAACAGGCGCUAAGAAAUACCUUGAAAAGUUUCUUUUACUGGGCUGAAGUGUCCUUUGACUUUUUCAAGGCAGAUGAUAGUG